Molecule: non-coding RNA, 190 nt
Filed under: Lysinibacillus odysseyi
Lineage: Bacteria; Bacillati; Bacillota; Bacilli; Caryophanales; Bacillaceae
Also listed under: 1 other name
Description: Lysine sequence
Rfam family: Lysine riboswitch aptamer
About the family: Riboswitches are metabolite binding domains within certain messenger RNAs that serve as precision sensors for their corresponding targets. Allosteric rearrangement of mRNA structure is mediated by ligand binding, and this results in modulation of gene expression. This family includes riboswitches that sense lysine in a number of genes involved in lysine metabolism, including lysC.
Source: RNAcentral
AACAAAGAUAGAGGUGCAGGCUUCAAUAGUACCACUUGUGAGGAGGAGCAACUCCAAGGAACAGGUGUGAAAGGGAAAACUGCCGAAGUGGAUAAUUGUUGUUCCAAUUAUUUGCUGGUUUUGCAUUUAAGAAAUGCUGGACUGUCAGAAACGCCUUAGUAUGGCCUAUUUCUGGAGAGCUAUCUCAACG